Suricata suricatta (meerkat) is the source of this 281-nucleotide long non-coding RNA. RefSeq lists it as uncharacterized. NCBI's taxonomy places the organism in Eukaryota, Metazoa, Chordata, Mammalia, Carnivora, Herpestidae. The transcript has 3 exons. The record is from RefSeq and is a predicted model, not a curated record.
GUCAACUUGUCUAGACUACAGUCCCCAGUUAUUCAAUAUAACUGUGAAGAUGAAUGUCCUAACCUUUUCUUGAUUAACUUGAAGAAGUAUUUGUCCUCGGAGACCUUGAGCAGCUCCAUGGCACACAUACCACUUAUAUGAGGCAAAGCCGUACAUUUUUUGGAUCAUGUCCUGCGAGAACUUGAUAUGUUUGAUACCUACAAUCAGUUCUGCAGGACCAUCUGUGCCAGACUUGCUGCAAAGCCCUUUCCUGCUUUGGGCCUGAAUAAAUGCAAGUAGUC